This 439-nucleotide ribosomal RNA is filed under the name uncultured bacterium. RNAcentral describes it as "partial 16S ribosomal RNA". It matches the Rfam family "Bacterial small subunit ribosomal RNA", at positions 338 to 795 of the family's 1533-position model. The record is from RNAcentral.
CCUACGGGUGGCAGCAGUGGGGAAUAUUGCACAAUGGGCGAAAGCCUGAUGCAGCAACGCCGCGUGAGUGAUGAAGGCCUUCGGGUCGUAAAGCCCUGUCCUCAAGGAAGAUAAUGACGGUGCUUGUGGAGGAAGCCCCGGCUAACUACGUGCCAGCAGCCGCGGUAAUACGUAGGGGGCCAGCGUUAUCCGGAAUUACUGUGCGUAAAGGGGUAGUGGGUGGUUUCUUAAGUCAGAGGUGAAAGGCUACGGCUCAACCGUAGUAAGCCUUUGAAACUGGGGAACUUGAGUGCAGGAGAGGGGAGUGGAAUUCCUGGUGUAGCGGUGAAAUGCGUAGAUAUUAGGAGGAACACCAGUUGCGAAGGCGGCUCUCUGGACUGUAACUGACACUGAGGCACGAAGGCGUGGGGAGCAAACAGGAUUAGAUACCCCGGUAGUC